UCACUGGAAACUAUGAAGAUUGGCCUAC
Molecule: small RNA, 28 nt
Filed under: Bombyx mori (domestic silkworm)
Lineage: Eukaryota; Metazoa; Arthropoda; Insecta; Lepidoptera; Bombycidae
Description: ovarian small RNA-25443
Source: RNAcentral